UGAGGAAUUUUGCGCAAUGGGGGCAACCCUGACGCAGCAACGCCGCGUGAGUGAAGAAGGCCUUUGGGUCGUAAAGCUCUGUCGACAGGGAAGAAGUUACUUCAUAUUAAUAGUAUGUUGUAUUGACGGUACCUGUAGAGGAAGCACCGGCUAACUCCGUGCCAGCAGCCGCGGUAAUACGGGGGGUGCAAGCGUUAUUCGGAAUUAUUGGGCGUAAAGGGCGCGUAGGCGGUCUUGUCGGUCAGAUGUGAAAGCCCGGGGCUCAACCCUGGAAGUGCAUUUGAAACAGCAAGACUUGAGUACGGGAGAGGAAAGCGGAAUUCCUGGUGUAGAGGUGAAAUUCGUAGAUAUCAGGAGGAACACCGAUGGCGAAGGCAGCUUUCUGGACCGAUACUGACGCUGAGGCGCGAAGGUGUGGGUAGCGAACAGGAUUAGAUACCCUGGUAGUCCACACAGUAAACGAUGUACACUAGGUGUAGCGGGUAUUAAAAUCUGCUGUGCCCAAGCUAACGCAUUAA
RNAcentral lists this ribosomal RNA (518 nucleotides) under uncultured bacterium. RNAcentral describes it as "bacterial SSU rRNA". It matches the Rfam family "Bacterial small subunit ribosomal RNA", at positions 355 to 863 of the family's 1533-position model. The record is from RNAcentral.